AUUGAACGCUGGCGGCAUGCCUUACACAUGCAAGUCGAACGGUAACAGGCCGCAAGGUGCUGACGAGUGGCGAACGGGUGAGUAAUGCAUCGGAACGUGCCCAGUCGUGGGGGAUAACUACUCGAAAGAGUAGCUAAUACCGCAUACGAUCUAUGGAUGAAAGCGGGGGACCGUAAGGCCUCGCGCGAUUGGAGCGGCCGAUGUCAGAUUAGGUAGUUGGUGGGGUAAAGGCUCACCAAGCCAACGAUCUGUAGCUGGUCUGAGAGGACGACCAGCCACACUGGGACUGAGACACGGCCCAGACUCCUACGGGAGGCAGCAGUGGGGAAUUUUGGACAAUGGGCGCAAGCCUGAUCCAGCAAUGCCGCGUGCAGGAAGAAGGCCUUCGGGUUAUAAACUGCUUUUGUACGGAACGAAACGGCUCUGGUUAAUACCCGGGGCUAAUGACGGUACCGUAAGAAUAAGCACCGGCUAACUACGUG
This 482-nucleotide ribosomal RNA is filed under the name uncultured bacterium. RNAcentral describes it as "partial 16S ribosomal RNA". It matches the Rfam family "Bacterial small subunit ribosomal RNA", at positions 30 to 507 of the family's 1533-position model. The record is from RNAcentral.